Molecule: long non-coding RNA, 308 nt
Organism: Lampris incognitus (smalleye Pacific opah)
Lineage: Eukaryota; Metazoa; Chordata; Actinopteri; Lampriformes; Lampridae
Exons: 3
Source: RefSeq, a predicted model, not a curated record
GCAUGUGUAUGAAAAUGCAGGGGUGAACGUUGACCGCCACAUCUAUGAGAACCCCGGAGAGCUGAGAGACGCCACGCCUGAUCUCAUCCUGGCCGUCAAACCCAAGGUGCCCCUCGAGGACGAGCAGUUCUCGGCGGCCGAGUAUGGCGAAGAGAAAGCUUCGGCGAGCGAUUCCUCUUUGUCGUCUUCUCGCUUGUCAUGUCUAGACAGGGCGGAAAGAAAUUCCCGAGCUCUUAGCCUUCAUGAUUCUAUCACUAAGAUUCUCUCAGAGACCACAGAUUCUUCUGAGGAGGAGUGGCAGUCCAUCG